GGAGAACGCCGCUGCCGCCCAGAAACCACCACUGAAGCCUCGGUAUGCUUGUCACCGCGAGUUUCUCUGUAGUGCGCCGCCGUCGGACGCCGCCGUGACCACCACUGAACUCUACGCUGGCGUUAGUCACUCAUAGAGGUUGAAUAUUGAUGCUAGUGUUGUCGCGGGACUGUUGAAGUUGUUACUAGUUCUGAUUUUGUUAUCCUGGGUUGUAAUUGCUAUUAAUUCCUAUCCAAUCUGAAUCUUUUAUUUUGCUGCAACCAUGGUCACUGCGGUGAAGAUUAACAUUACUGCUACCGCUGUUUCGGUUGCUGCCAUUGCCGUUCUAAUUGCGUGAGAGUCGCAUCUGCUGCCAUGAACUAAAAGGAGAGGGAAUUAUCACGAUAAA
This is a long non-coding RNA of Arachis duranensis, 388 nucleotides long. RefSeq lists it as uncharacterized. NCBI's taxonomy places the organism in Eukaryota, Viridiplantae, Streptophyta, Magnoliopsida, Fabales, Fabaceae. The transcript is spliced from 3 exons. The record is from RefSeq and is a predicted model, not a curated record.